CCUACGGGAGGCAGCAGUGAGGAAUAUUGGUCAAUGGGCGCAAGCCUGAACCAGCCAAGUAGCGUGAAGGAUGACUGCCCUACGGGUUGUAAACUUCUUUUGUAAAGGAGUAAAGUUAGACACGUGUACCUUUUUGUAUGUACUUUAUGAAUAAGGAUCGGCUAACUCCGUGCCAGCAGCCGCGGUAAUACGGAGGAUCCGAGCGUUAUCCGGAUUUAUUGGGUUUAAAGGGAGCGUAGAUGGGUUGUUAAGUCAGUUGUGAAAGUUUGCGGCUCAACCGGAAAAUUGCAAUUGAUACUGGUAGUCUUGAGUACAGGUGAGGUAGGCGGAAUUCGUGGUGUAGCGGUGAAAUGCUUAGAGAUCACGAAGAACACCGAUUGCGAAGGCAGCUUACUAAACUGCAACUGACAUUGAGGCUCGAAAGUGUGGGGAUCAAACAGGAUUAGAUACCCCAGUAGUC
RNAcentral lists this ribosomal RNA (460 nucleotides) under uncultured bacterium. Its description in RNAcentral is "partial 16S ribosomal RNA". It matches the Rfam family "Bacterial small subunit ribosomal RNA", at positions 338 to 795 of the family's 1533-position model. The record is from RNAcentral.